AUGGCGGAGGAGUGCUGCAGCGCGGACCUGCUGGAGUGGAUCGGCCCUGACGUCUCAGCAUGCGUCUUCAGCCGCCUUGACCACCCCGCCGACCUUGUCCGCGCCGCCGCUGUCUCCAGAACCUGGCGCAGAUGCGUGGUCGAGAGCGGCUUGAGCAAGAGCCUUUGCCUGCGCCUGUGCCCCGAGGUCGCCACCGUCGCCGCGGCCGCAGAGGUGUCCAGAUCGCCGCCUUCAACCGCCGCCCCUGAAUCAGGCUACGAGAGGGACUACAGGAUAUACUCCAACCUCGCCGGCGCCUACGUCUCCGACUCCGCCGAGCCCUCCGCGGAAUGCAUCUUGGACUGUAUCGGCGCCUCCAGCACCGACGACUUCCCAGCAGAGACCAUGGAGAACACCCUCGACGAGGAGGAGAUUAUCAAUUUCCGCCCGUCCUAUUGGUCGAGCGGCGGGGCGGACGACCCCGAGGCGCCCGAGAGCCUUACCUACAGGCUCAACUCUGACAUCUGCAUUGUCGAUGAGAUUCGGGUGCGACCGUACCAAGCCUUUUUUCAGGAUGGUGACCCUAUAUACUCUUCAAAGAUGGUGCGAUUUCAGAUGGGCCAUUACAAGCUUCCGCGAGGAUCAGAGACGUUUGUAAUGGAUGAUUAUGAGAAUAAGAUGGUAAAUGCUGAUGAAAAAUACACGUGGACUUACACUUCGCCAGCGUUCCCUAUGUUACAGAAAAACGAACUACAAUCCUUCAAGCUCCCACGCCCUGUCCUUUGCAUUGGUGGUGUGGUGAUGAUUGAACUCUUGGGCAGAGUACAGAAACAAGAAGCAGAUGAUAUGUACUACAUAUGCGUUUGCCAUGCUGAAGUGAUGGGGCGUUCACUCUCACCACUUUUCAUGGUUGAAAUCUCGGAUCCUGAAGGUUAUUCAAUCCUCAAGUACUUACCGGGUGCCAAGGACCUAUCCAUCGAUGACUUUUUGCAAGAUGAUACCAAAGACUCGCCGGAGUGGCACUAUCUUGUUGAUAGAUACAGGCAGAUGAAUCACAGAGCAGUAGUAGUGAGUGCACUUCUGGAGCCUGUACAUUACAUGCAUGAUAUAGGUGGCAUCUCAGACGAUGAUCAUGAAGAUGAUGUAGGUGGCAUCUCAGACGAUGAUCAUGAAGAUGAUUUUAGUGAACACCUCGGAACUCUGCAAGCUUUUGUUGCAAGCAUUUCUGAAGCCUCGGUUCUGGAACCUAGAGGACCUGAUCGAGACAAGUUGCUCUUAUGGUUUGCAACUCUGCUCAAGCUUGCUCGUGUUUUCUCUUGUGUUUUUCGUUUAGUGGUGAAUAUUUGUCAUAUAUUACUUUUCAAAUAA
This 1347-nucleotide ribosomal RNA is filed under the name Triticum aestivum (bread wheat). Its description in RNAcentral is "partial small subunit ribosomal RNA". The record is from RNAcentral. Lineage: Eukaryota; Viridiplantae; Streptophyta; Magnoliopsida; Poales; Poaceae.